RNAcentral lists this transfer RNA (56 nucleotides) under Pyramimonas parkeae. The record is from RNAcentral. Lineage: Eukaryota; Viridiplantae; Chlorophyta; Pyramimonadophyceae; Pyramimonadales; Pyramimonadaceae.
AGCGCAGUUGGUAGCGCGCCGGCCUGUGGUACAGAUGGUCCCUGGAUCGAACCUGG